UCCCCUUCUCUCAAACACUCUCGAACCUUCUCUAACCCUAGCCACCUCCGCCCUGAAAUCUACCGGAAUCUAUGGCUUCUCUGUGAGAGCCCUAUACCCACCUCUCCUUGCUCUCACACACAUGGUCUUUGAAGAUUCAAGGCCUGACUUUGAAGGUUCAUGCUUAGUCCUCUGUCGACUCAAAAUUCUACGGUCAUCUCAAGCAUUUCUCCGGCGUACCAUGGUUGUCUGAGCCUGAUCCUAACCUCUCCGA
RNAcentral lists this long non-coding RNA (253 nucleotides) under Nicotiana benthamiana. RNAcentral describes it as "long non-coding RNA (NBEN_LNC026157)". Lineage: Eukaryota; Viridiplantae; Streptophyta; Magnoliopsida; Solanales; Solanaceae. The record is from RNAcentral.